RNAcentral lists this ribosomal RNA (104 nucleotides) under Frullania sp. B BlS-2016. RNAcentral's name for it is "partial 5.8S ribosomal RNA". It matches the Rfam family "5.8S ribosomal RNA", at positions 52 to 154 of the family's 154-position model. From Rfam's summary of the family: 5.8S ribosomal RNA (5.8S rRNA) is a component of the large subunit of the eukaryotic ribosome. It is transcribed by RNA polymerase I as part of the 45S precursor that also contains 18S and 28S rRNA. Functionally, it is thought that 5.8S rRNA may be involved in ribosome translocation. Lineage: Eukaryota; Viridiplantae; Streptophyta; Jungermanniopsida; Porellales; Frullaniaceae. The record is from RNAcentral.
AAUGCGAUACCUAGUGUGAAUUGCAGAAUUCCGCGAAUCAUCGAGUUUUUGAACGCAAGUUGCGCCCGAGGCUCGUACCGAGGGCAUGUCUGUCUGAGCGUCCU